This is a long non-coding RNA of Homo sapiens (human), 397 nucleotides long. RefSeq lists it as uncharacterized. Lineage: Eukaryota; Metazoa; Chordata; Mammalia; Primates; Hominidae. The record is from RefSeq and is a predicted model, not a curated record. The transcript is spliced from 2 exons.
UGGAGGGUUUUCAUGACAAGGAAUUGCACAUUGGAUGAUCAUUUCUACCUUUUGCAAUAACUACUUCUUAUUUGCAAGUUGUGUUUAAGUGAACAAAGACAAUGAUACCCUGUUGAGCUGGUAGGUAGGAAGAACCAGCGAAGCGCACAGUUACCGGAGAGGUUAUUUGCCCAAUGUUGAGAAACAUAUGUGUGUAUUAGAAAAAAUCACAUCGACUCCCAGGAAUCCUGCAACAUACUGCAACUGUGAUGCUGACCAGAAUGAGUGGAGAUUUCCUCAUGAUUUCUCUGUGUGAGAUGCAGGUUAAAAAAAAGUUAUUACUUAAUAUAUGAAUAGGCAGAUAUUGAAUAAGCUAUUGCAAUGAAAAAAAUAAAAGUAUGCCCUAGUGAGUAAAAAA